AUCAACUUUCGAUGGUAGGAUAGAGGCCUACCAUGGUGGUAACGGGUAACGGGGUGUUAGGGCACGACACCGGAGAGGGAGCCUGAGAAACGGCUACCACAUCCAAGGAUGGCAGCAGGCGCGCAAAUUACCCAAUCCCGACACGGGGAGGUAGUGACAAUAAAUAACAAUACGGGGUUCUUUAGGAUCUCGUAAUUGGAAUGAGUACAAUUUAAAUCUCUUAACGAGGAACAAUUGGAGGGCAAGUCUGGUGCCAGCAGCCGCGGUAAUUCCAGCUCCAAUAGCGUAUAUUAAAGUUGUUGCAGUUAAAAAGCUCGUAGUUGAAUUUCGGGGUUAGUAGGUUGGUCAUGCCUCUGGUAUGUACUGGUCUCACUGAUUCCUCCUUCCUUAUGAACCGUAAUGCCAUUAAUUUGGUGUUGCGGGAAAUUUGGACUGUUACUUUGAAAAAAUUAGAGUGUUUAAAGCAAGCUAACGCUUGAAUACAUUAGCAUGGAAUAAUGAAAUAGGACGUUCGAUCUUAUUUUGUUGGUUUCUAGGAUUGACGUAAUGAUUAAUAGGGAUAGUUGGGGGCAUUAGUAUUCAAUUGUCAGAGGUGAAAUUCUUGGAUUUAUUGAAGACUAACUACUGCGAAAGCAUUUGCCAAGGAUGUUUUCAUUAAUCAAGAACGAAAGUUAGGGGAUCGAAGACGAUCAGAUACCGUCGUAGUCUUAACCAUAAACUAUGCCGACUAGGGAUCGGAUGAUGUUAAUUUUUUAAUGACUCAUUCGGCGCCUUACGGGAAACCAAAGUGUUUGGGUUC
Molecule: ribosomal RNA, 799 nt
Filed under: uncultured Rhizophagus
Lineage: Eukaryota; Fungi; Glomeromycota; Glomeromycetes; Glomerales; Glomeraceae
Description: SSU rRNA
Rfam family: Eukaryotic small subunit ribosomal RNA
Source: RNAcentral